Molecule: long non-coding RNA, 1596 nt
Organism: Trematomus bernacchii (emerald rockcod)
Lineage: Eukaryota; Metazoa; Chordata; Actinopteri; Perciformes; Nototheniidae
Exons: 5
Source: RefSeq, a predicted model, not a curated record
UCUAUCCCUACCCAAGAGUCUCUGCAGCAUUCACCUUCUCCCCCUCUUCCUCGUAACAGACAUCCCGAAUCUUCGGAUGAUGAAGAUGAGUCAGCCUCCCCCGCCCUCCCUGCAGGCAAGUCCAAGCCUAAAGUGGGCAAAGGGAAAGGCAAGGCCCAGAAGGAGAACCCACCCCCUGGUGCAUCAUACAGCUUCACAGAGGCGCAGGAGGAGGCAAUCGCUCGCUGGGUGGAGAGUAACAAGCUACUGUAUGACAUGAAGGACAAACAGUACAAAGACAAGGCAUAAAGGAGGCAUCUAUGGGAGGGAAAGGCUGCGGAGUACGGGUUGGAUUAUCAUUCAAUUCUGAAAUGGUACCACACACAGAGGACUCGAUUCUCGAAGCUGCGGGAGGGCCAACCCAAGAAGAAAUCCCAGAAGAGGUCCGGUGAUGGUCUGUCGAGUGGUGACGAGGAAGACCCCAUCCUUGCUGAGGAGGCCAGUGAGAAUGACAGUGACCGUGGCAAGUUCAUCCGCCGGGUCUUUGGGUUUCUGAAGCCACACAUCAGACGUCACAAGAAGGAUACACCAGCUAGUUUUAAGGACAAGUUGGCCCUGGCUAAGACGGGUGAGCUGGCUGGGAGUGACAACAGUACCAUGGCAGGCAGUCUUGCAGAAGAACCCAGGGAGCCCACCAAGAAGUACACUGGCUACCCUACACCGAGACCUCCUUCCAGGACAGGAACAGCUGCUGAGGACCAAUCCGAGUCUCCUACCAUGGAGAUGAGAGUUACCGGAGCAUCAUCCCGUGAUCUCCAAGGCUGGUUCAGUUCAUCACUCGAGAGCAGCAAGUCAACAGGGCCACUCCUUUCUGCAAGUACCUGGAAACUGAACUGGAUCGUCUGCAUGAUGCCUUCCUGGAACCUGCGUAUGAGGAGAUCACCACAGUUCUUAACCAUUACCGGAAGAUGUCCAGACAGUUAAGGAUGAGGGAAGCGGCUGGUGACCAGAUCAGUCCCUUCGUAGAUGUCCCGUCAGCAUUCCAGUCGCAGCAGCCGCAGAGGCCAGUUGCUAUGAUCCCAGUCUGCACAUCUGCCACCUACUCAAGAGUCAGCCAACAUCAACAGGAGAUGCCCUCCCCAGCGGUACCUACUACUCCGCCAGCAGGGCUGCCUCUUCACCGUCAGCAGAGUUCCAGCCAGGUCCCAGCCAGUGGCCUAGGAACCCACCUCCGGCAUCAGUGUGGAGAUCCCAGGAGUGUGGCUACGUAGAGCAGGUGAACCAGCAGCACAACUUGGAGCAACAGCAGCAGUACCAUACCCUCCAGCCAGCCAGCACUUCUACUCAGUGCUACGUUCCUUCUCCUCGCCAGGCUGCAUUCUUCAAACUUCCUUCUCAGCCUCCUCAGCAGCAAAUCAGUGGUCCUUGGCAGCUAUCACCCCAGCAGCCAGUCCAGGGUCCUCCUCCGCCUCCUCUUCCAGCUCAGCAGUCUCAGCACAAUGUGACCCAGGACAGCCUCAAUAUCAACAAAGAUCUCUCAGCUUUAGUGCCACAUGAAGACAAUAAAAAAAUCACACAGAAACUUGAGAUUGUAUGUAAUAAAAAUUGUCAGUGAUA